RNAcentral lists this transfer RNA (83 nucleotides) under Deltaproteobacteria bacterium. RNAcentral describes it as "tRNA-Tyr". It matches the Rfam family "tRNA". Rfam says of the family: Transfer RNA (tRNA) molecules are approximately 80 nucleotides in length. Their secondary structure includes four short double-helical elements and three loops (D, anti-codon, and T loops). Further hydrogen bonds mediate the characteristic L-shaped molecular structure. tRNAs have two regions of fundamental functional importance: the anti-codon, which is responsible for specific mRNA codon recognition, and the 3' end, to which the tRNAs corresponding amino acid is attached (by aminoacyl-tRNA synthetases). tRNAs cope with the degeneracy of the genetic code in two manners: having more than one tRNA (with a specific anti-codon) for a particular amino acid; and 'wobble' base-pairing, i.e. permitting non-standard base-pairing at the 3rd anti-codon position. Lineage: Bacteria; Pseudomonadati; Myxococcota; Myxococcia. The record is from RNAcentral.
GGAGAGAUACCCAAGUGGCCAAAGGGAGCAGACUGUAAAUCUGCCGGUUCACGCCUUCGAAGGUUCGAAUCCUUCUCCCUCCA